RNAcentral lists this ribosomal RNA (505 nucleotides) under uncultured bacterium. RNAcentral describes it as "partial 16S ribosomal RNA". It matches the Rfam family "Bacterial small subunit ribosomal RNA", at positions 28 to 507 of the family's 1533-position model. The record is from RNAcentral.
GACGAACGCUGGCGGCGUGCCUAAUACAUGCAAGUAGAACGCACAGUUUAUACCGUAGCUUGCUACACCAUAGACUGUGAGUUGCGAACGGGUGAGUAACGCGUAGGUAACCUGCCUGGUAGCGGGGGAUAACUAUUGGAAACGAUAGCUAAUACCUCAUAAUAUUAAUUAUUGCAUGAUAAUUAAUUGAAAGGUGCAAUUGCAUCACUACCUGAUCGACCUGCGUUGUAUUAGCUAGUAGGUGAGGUAACGGCUCACCUAGGCGACGAUACAUAUCCGAACUGAGAGGGGGAUCGGCCACACUGGGACUGAGACACGGCCCAGACUCCUACGGGAAGGAGCAGUAGGGAAACUUCGGCAAUGGAGGAAAGUCUGACCGAGCAAAGCCGCGUGAGUGAAGAAGGGUUUCGGAUCGGAAAGCUCGGUUGUAAGGGAAGAACGGGUGUGAGAGUGGAAAGUUCACGCUGUGACGGUAUCUUACCAGAAAGGGACGGCUAACUACGUG